This 246-nucleotide ribosomal RNA is filed under the name uncultured bacterium. RNAcentral's name for it is "partial 16S ribosomal RNA". It matches the Rfam family "Bacterial small subunit ribosomal RNA", at positions 524 to 772 of the family's 1533-position model. The record is from RNAcentral.
UACGUAGGGCGCAAGCGUUGUCCGGAAUUAUUGGGCGUAAAGAGCUCGUAGGCGGCCUGUUGCGUCCGCUGUGAAAUCCCGGGGCUCAACCCCGGGCCUGCAGUGGAUACGGGCUGGCUAGAGGCAGGCAGGGGAGAAUGGAAUCCCGGUGUAGCGGUGAAUGCGCAGAUAUCGGGAGGAACACCGGUGGCGAAGGCGGUUCUCUGGGCCUUACCUGACGCUGAGGAGCGAAGCGUGGGGAGCGAA